UGCCCUUGUUGUAUCAAUGAGAGAGUGAUAGACGCUCUACCAGGGACAAGACAGGUUGCAUUUACAGCAUCAGUGGUCAGAGGAAUGAGUUCUGACUGCCUCGUGACAUCAAACCAGAAGAUCAGACAUCAAAAAGCAAAUGAUACCAUUUUUUAGAGAACUCCAACCAAACCUACUCACAAAAACAAGUUCAUACCAUUUUGAUCUUUUAUUUACAGACUGGCUCUUCGAGCUGCUGCGCCCAUGGGUGUGAAGGUUCUCCAGUGUUUUCCCUGGUACAGGAGGUGUAAAGACAGAGGCAAGGGCAGACACUGCCCCCCUAAAGCAGUUCCAUACAUUGAAGCGGAGCCCCAGUUUGCCCCGACAACCUAUGCCAGCGCUGGAGGAGGAGUUGUCUACUUUUCCCACAAGGCAAGAGUGGCCUACAGACAUCAGAUGGAAGGCAACGUUAUAGAUACCACCUACUGACCCCUAGCCUCAUCCUGCAGCCCCUGCUGCAGAAACACCCCUCAAAGACUGUCUGCUCAGAAUCCUCUGUCUCACAACAGACUAUAUCCCAGUUCUUCAAUGAUCUUGUUUGUAGUUGAGGAGCUCAGUUCAUCUCAAUGUUAGAGAUAGUUGCUUGAAUGAAGAUGGAGGCUGAGUAGCACUUUUGAGAACAGUCUGAUAGGCAUACGGCAUUUUUUGACAGAAUUGGAAGAAAACACUUUUGUAGAUAUAAGGGUAAAGAAAAUGUGUUUACGCUAUUACCUUGAAGUGCAUUCUUCUUGUUUUAUCAUUUGUCACUUUAUUUAUUGUUCUAGGGUCAAUGUUGAGUAUUUAUUGUUUUAGGGUGAAUGUUUUGCAUCUAAAUUACGUUUUGUAGUUGUCCAUUUGCUGUAAAAUCCCAUCUAGCAAUUGGUGUUGUAGACUAGUCAUAACUUAAUGCACGGCUAUGCGAUGAAUGCUAUAAUUCUACAACUGUCAAUUAUUUCUGUCACUUUAUAUUCUAUUUGUGUUUUUUUCUUUUGAAAUAAUGGAACAAUACUAAUGUUACAUUACUAAUAAUGUAACAAGUAUAUUUUAAAAUAGUGUUGGAUAGAUGCAAAUGAAUUGUCUUGCAGUUUGAUUAUGGAACAUUGCUACAGUGUCCGUCUAGUUCGGUCCAUGUUCACUGUUAUCCUAUCACAGCCUUUCAAUAGUUUUGAGUAAGAAUGGGAUAUACUCAACAAACAGGCCUUUAUGAGUAAGGGAUAAUCAACUAAAAUAAUGAACAACAUGGAAGGUGUGUUCCAAGAUGCGCUAGCAAGGUGGCAUCUAACAAAUGACACAUUAUUUUCCAGAGAACACAGAGCCCUGAGUUGAUUAUCCCUUUUAUACCAUGGCUCAAA
Oncorhynchus tshawytscha (Chinook salmon) is the source of this 1370-nucleotide long non-coding RNA. RefSeq lists it as uncharacterized. NCBI's taxonomy places the organism in Eukaryota, Metazoa, Chordata, Actinopteri, Salmoniformes, Salmonidae. The record is from RefSeq and is a predicted model, not a curated record. The transcript has 3 exons.